This 75-nucleotide transfer RNA is filed under the name Sorex araneus (European shrew). RNAcentral's name for it is "tRNA-Ile (AAT) (tRNA-Ile-AAT-3-1)". It matches the Rfam family "tRNA". Rfam says of the family: Transfer RNA (tRNA) molecules are approximately 80 nucleotides in length. The record is from RNAcentral. Lineage: Eukaryota; Metazoa; Chordata; Mammalia; Eulipotyphla; Soricidae.
GGCCGGUUAGCUCAGUUGGUUAGAGCGUGGUGCUAAUAACGCCAAGGUCUCGGGGUUCGAUCCCCGUACGGGCCA